RNA transcript from Vitis riparia (riverbank grape), 2131 nucleotides. It is a transcript of the gene named probable serine/threonine-protein kinase PBL5, with no coding region annotated. The record is from RefSeq and is a predicted model, not a curated record. NCBI's taxonomy places the organism in Eukaryota, Viridiplantae, Streptophyta, Magnoliopsida, Vitales, Vitaceae. The transcript has 8 exons.
AUUGCUUCUCUCCUCUCCUCUCCUGUCUGCUCUCUCUUCCCUCACUUUCUCUCUCUAAAAUGUCCUUUUUGUAACUCUCUUUCUCCGUUGUGUGUUUGGCUCUGUUUUCUUGGCGGCUGAGAAAGAGAGAGAGAGAAAAAUCUGAGGAAGAAGAGGGAGAGAGGGGCAAGAAAGAGCCAUGGGUUGUUUUCGUUGUGGAAAAUCAGAUAAAAAGUUGAAGAAAAACAGUGACAGUAGCAGCCACAACAGCAACAACAACAGCAAACCCAAUGUUCAAACACAGUCCAGUCCAGAUGCAUUGAAAGUUAAUCCAUAUUUGGAUGUGAAGAAGGAGAUGGAUGCGGAGAAACAGGACUCUAAGGAAGUUAAUCCAUCUUUGGAUGUGAAGAAGGAGGUCUCUGGGAAUGGAUUACCUGAUAAAAAUGGAUCGCCUGAUAAAAAUGGAUUACCUGAUAAAAAUCAGGCACGGACAUUUACAUUUCAUCAACUUGCGGUUGCAACUGAUAAUUUCAGGUCUGAUUGUUUCUUGGGCGAGGGAGGUUUUGGCAAAGUUUUUAAGGGAUAUUUGGAUAACCCAAGUCAGGUUGUGGCAAUCAAGCAACUUGAUCGCAAUGGAUUGCAAGGGAUUAGGGAAUUUUUUGUUGAAGUAUUGACAUUGAGCUCUGUUGAUCACCCUAAUCUUGUCAAAUUAAUUGGGUAUUGUGCUGAGGGUGAUCAAAGACUGCUAGUUUACGAGUACAUGCCAUUAGGAUCUUUGGAAAACCAUUUGCAUGACCUUCCACCUGGCACGAAACCACUUGAUUGGAAUUCAAGAAUGAAAAUAGCUGCUGGUGCAGCCAAAGGCUUAGAGUAUUUACAUGACAAAAUGUAUCCCCCUGUUAUAUACCGUGAUCUGAAGUGCUCAAACAUUUUGCUUGGGGAGGGCUAUCAUCCUAAACUAUCAGAUUUUGGCUUGGCAAAAGUGGGUCCUACAGGGGAUAAGACUCAUGUUUCGACAAGGGUGAUGGGUACAUAUGGGUACUGUGCACCAGAUUAUGCAAUGACUGGUCAGCUGACAUUUAAGUCAGAUAUUUACAGCUUCGGGGUGGUUCUUUUGGAGCUCAUUACAGGCAGGAAAGCAAUUGAUAAUUCAAAAGGUGCUAGGGAGCAAAAUCUGGUUGCAUGGGCACGACCCCUGUUCAAAGACCGGAGGAAAUUCUCACAGAUGGCUGACCCAUUACUCCAUGGUCAGUAUCCUGUCAGAGGUUUGUACCAAGCUCUUGCCAUUGCUGCAAUGUGUGUGCAGGAGCAACCUAACAUGCGGCCCCUCAUAGCUGAUGUCGUUACUGCUUUAAACUACCUUGCUUCUCAAACAUACAACCCCCAAAUCCAUCCAGUCCAAAGCCACCAGGGGAGCAUUUCUCCCACAACGAGAAAGGGCAGUGAUAAGAAGUCAUCGCAGGAAAUGCACCAGAGGAAGACUGAAGGAGAGAAGUAAACUAGGAAUCAGGCUGUCUUCUCUGGUUUCAUUGGGGGAACAGAGAGAACAUUGACCACGUAUCGACCCUUAGACGACAAGUAUGUGAUCAAUGUUAGGCAGCAGCAGCAACUUCAGGGGAGGCAAUCUGCGAUAAGGAGAAUGGAUGAUAUCGGCGAUCUUCCCAUCUAUGAUCCGCGCUCCACAGUCGGUCGGAGAUCGCGACCGUGGCCUGAAAAGUGGAUUCAUGUGAUUCCUGUCACGAUUCUGCUCGUUUUCUUCAUUCUCUGGUGGUCCUCUUACCCAGUGUGGGUGGAGAUGAAGGACAAAAGAAUUCUAUCUGUUCAUCGGAUCUUACAACCGCAGUCUCUCAAUAAUACUCACUUUGACAUCACCAUCUUGGCAUCUACAACUUCACCAAUUGCCUCAGUCCCUCAGAAUCUUACACGAAACAAUGAAACUGUAGCAUUCCCAGUGAGUAAAGCCGAUUGAAAAAUUACCUUUUCUGAAUGGGAAAAUAGUUCCAUGAAAUUUAGUCCUGUCAAUAUUACUGUUACUAGAGAUUGAGAUUGCUUUGCCCCACGGGAUUUUGAUAAUCUUCAGGAACAAAUAAGGGAAAUAAUGUGAAAAGGCUUCUAGGGUUUGUCUCAAAGAAUAAUCAGGUGGAAUACACGU